Molecule: ribosomal RNA, 478 nt
Filed under: uncultured bacterium
Lineage: Bacteria
Description: partial 16S ribosomal RNA
Rfam family: Bacterial small subunit ribosomal RNA
Source: RNAcentral
GACGAACGCUGGCGGCGUGCUUAACACAUGCAAGUCGAACGGUAAGGCCCUUCGGGGUACACGAGUGGCGAACGGGUGAGUAACACGUGGGUGAUCUGCCCUGCACUUCGGGAUAAGCCUGGGAAACUGGGUCUAAUACCGGAUAGGACUCCUGCCUGCAUGGGUGGGGGUGGAAAGCUUUUGCGGUGUGGGAUGGGCCCGCGGCCUAUCAGCUUGUUGGUGGGGUGAUGGCCUACCAAGGCGACGACGGGUAGCCGGCCUGAGAGGGUGACCGGCCACACUGGGACUGAGAUACGGCCCAGACUCCUACGGGAGGCAGCAGUGGGGAAUAUUGCACAAUGGGCGCAAGCCUGAUGCAGCGACGCCGCGUGAGGGAUGACGGCCUUCGGGUUGUAAACCUCUUUCAGCACAGACGAAGCGCAAGUGACGGUAUGUGCAGAAGAAGGACCGGCCAACUACGUGCCAGCCGCCGCCGUAA